This 728-nucleotide ribosomal RNA is filed under the name uncultured Pseudomonadota bacterium. RNAcentral's name for it is "bacterial SSU rRNA". It matches the Rfam family "Bacterial small subunit ribosomal RNA", at positions 58 to 766 of the family's 1533-position model. The record is from RNAcentral. Lineage: Bacteria; Pseudomonadati; Pseudomonadota.
CAAGUCGAACGCGAAAGUCCCGCAAGGGAUCAGUAGAGUGGCAAACGGGUGAGUAACACGUGGGUGACCUGCCUUCGAGUGGGGGAUAACGUCCCGAAAGGGACGCUAAUACCGCAUGACAUCCUGCCUUUGAAGAGGUGGAGCUUAAAGCUGGGGAUCGCAAGACCUAGCGCUUGAAGAGGGGCCCGCGCCUGAUUAGCUAGUUGGUGAGGUAAUGGCUCACCAAGGCAACGAUCAGUAUCCGGCCUGAGAGGGCGGACGGACACACUGGGACUGAGACACGGCCCAGACUCCUACGGGAGGCAGCAGUGGGGAAUUGUUCGCAAUGGGCGCAAGCCUGACGACGCAACGCCGCGUGGAGGAUGAAGAUCUUCGGGUCGUAAACUCCUUUCGAUCGAGACGAACGGCCCCUGGGCUAAUCACCAGGGGAGUGACGGUACCGAGAGAAGAAGCCCCGGCUAACUCCGUGCCAGCAGCCGCGGUAAUACGGGGGGGGCAAGCGUUGUUCGGAAUUACUGGGCGUAAAGGGCUCGUAGGCGGCCAGCUAAGUCAGACGUGAAAUCCCUCGGCUUAACCGGGGAACUGCGUCUGAUACUGGAUGGCUUGAGAUUGGGAGAGGGAUGCGGAAUUCCAGGUGUAGCGGUGAAAUGCGUAGAUAUCUGGAGGAACACCGGUGGCGAAGGCGGCAUCCUGGACCAACACUGACGCUGAGGAGCGAAAGCCAGGGG